Molecule: transfer RNA, 75 nt
Filed under: Chloroflexi bacterium B3_Chlor
Lineage: Bacteria; Bacillati; Chloroflexota
Also listed under: 1 other name
Description: tRNA-Arg
Rfam family: tRNA
About the family: Transfer RNA (tRNA) molecules are approximately 80 nucleotides in length.
Source: RNAcentral
GCCCCUAUAGCUCAGCCAGGACAGAGCAGUGGUUUCCUAAACCAUGUGUCGCAGGUUCAAAUCCUGCUAGGGGUA